This is a non-coding RNA of Triticum urartu, 2348 nucleotides long. Lineage: Eukaryota; Viridiplantae; Streptophyta; Magnoliopsida; Poales; Poaceae. The record is from RefSeq and is a predicted model, not a curated record.
UUGGCGCAGGAUUAGCAUGGGAGAGCGCGCGAGAUGCGAAAAUUUUCGCUCCAAAUAAGCAAAAUCCCCAAACUCCAACUCAGACUAAAAUCCCCAAAUCGACCACCCUGACCUAGCCUCCUCCCCGAGCACAUGCCGCCGCCGCCCCCCACCCUGCGCGGCUGCCGACCGCCCUCCGCCACACUCCAGUGCCAGCUUCCUCCCCGACCACGCGCCGACCACCGUCCGCCACACCUAGUGCCACUCCUCCCGGACCAUGCCGCCGAGCACCCUCCGCCGCCCCGACCACCAUUCGCCGGACCUCCAGCAACGCCCAAGCAGCCAAACCUCCUACACGCAUCCUCCGCCAGGCUCCUCUAGGCUCGAGUUGCUCAAGUGUUUCAGCGGAAGGAUCUGUUCGAGUGAGGUUGUCCACAAGGAUGACGUCUAACUUCCACCAGAUCUGGCAUGAAACGAGGUAAUCCAGUUAGGUUUAGUUUUGAUUUGGCUGUCUUACCUCCCCGUACAGCAGUCUUGGCCUCUUUCCCAUCCGCCCUCGCUGUAGCACAUGGCUGCCAACAUUGUAUUCUCGGCUUGUAGGAUACCCAAGCGACUCGCAGAUGCGAAGGAAAAUUGAGCAAGGUUCCGCCUCCCAUGGUUGAGCAGUCGUAAGGGUUAUGUUGUCUCUCCAUGUUGCUGGUCAUAUGAGCCCAACUAAUAUUUGCUUCCUGUGAUCUACGGAAGGAUAAAAUUGAUGUUUCCUACCUGCCAUACUCAUCUAUUUCUGUUUUCAGUUGACAUGCCUACUGUACGAAUUACAGUCUUUGGUACAUUCACUUAUCCCUUCGAAUUUGACAAGCAUGGAAGAAUCUGAAUAUCACUUAUCCCUCUCCCGUUAUUAUUUAGCAUAUGUUAACUGACUGCUGUGUUUAUGCUUAUAUCCUUCGGUUAUUGUUUAUAACAAACCAAAUUAAGGAUUUUGUGUUCAUCUCUGAAACUUCAUAGUGAUGGUUGGUAUUUAAUCUUUCAAGGAAAUGCAGCAAACUGUUGUACUAGGAAGAUUAUCCUGACAUGGGAGUUUUUUUAGGAACAGGAGAGUUGCACACAUAUGAAGUAUAGAAAUUUAUUCUUAAUGUGCUAGGCUUAAUGCAACUAGAUAAAUAAUGUUCAACAAGGCAUAUUGAUGUGUUAAAUUGUUUUCAGUUUCAGUGUCAAUACAAGAAAGGUAACCUUGUGUUAGAUCUUCAAUCCAAGGGAGAAAUUGGAGCAUCGGGACAUUUAAACCGAACCUAAAUUAAGGUUGAUCUUUACUUGCAAUCUAAUUUGCAUAUUGGUGUGUGUUCUUCAGGAAUCAUGAUACUACUUUAUGAUCUGAUUGGUGAAAGAGGUAUUUUGUACGGUUCUCUUGUGUCCGACAUGUCUUUUUCUCUCUAUAUAAAGUAGCAUUGAAAAUGUCCUUGUAUUUCCUUUGACAUCUCCGAAGCUCAUACCUGAAUAUCAUGAUAUAUGCCUGUAAGAAAGCUAUGUAUGUUCUUUUGAGUUAAACCUAACACCAAACAUUUUAGUUUCUAUACUUGUCAGUUAAUGCUGGAAAAACGUUUGAAUUUUAUUUGCUGUACUAGUUGCCUUUGUGUGCUCAUACAAAAAUACUAGAUCCUACGAUGUCAAAAAUUGAUACAGGUUGUGGAUCACACUUCCUUUUUCUCGAACAUUGUUCCUAUUUUGUCUUAUGUGCAGUUUUUUCAAACAGAUUUCGAUGAUUCUUCACUUUCAGAAAACUGAACUUAAUAUCAGAGGCAAUCUCACCAUGCCAUUAUGGGUUUAAUUAUUUGUCCAGACCUGAAACUGUUGUCAUGCUUUCCAGGAAGGGCAACUAGAUGUGCUUAAUUCAUGUGCCCAGGCUUGAAACUGCGGACAUUUUUUAGCUUCUUAUUAAAUCGAAUAUUCACUUGAUGCCUUGAUGGGAAAUUUGUCGAGAAAUUUUCUUGAUGAUGUAGCCGUUUUCUUCUAAAAGUUGGGGUGGUGAACUUUUGUAGAUUCAGAGUAUCGUAAUAAAUGUAAUGGAUAUAAUGUUUUCUAAUACUACCUGACUUGACAUUUGGACUUUUCCUGUCUAGGUUGAAAAUGUUCCUAUAAGAUUCGUCAAGAUACCUUGCCUUAACCAUAUGCCCUGAGCUCACACAGAAGUUACAGGCUUUACUCUUUGUGUUUGUUUCAUCUUGUACUGCUCAAGUUUCUAGAAACUACAGAUGCUAAAUUAUGAGGGAAGUCUUCAUGUGUAAUCAAUGAAUUGCUUACAUUGUAAAAUAUUUGAUGAUCAGACUUUAUAAUAUAUAUGCGAUGUGCAUCUGCAUAAUCUUUUUGCUUUA